This is a long non-coding RNA of Arabidopsis lyrata subsp. lyrata, 651 nucleotides long. RefSeq lists it as uncharacterized. The transcript has 3 exons. The record is from RefSeq and is a predicted model, not a curated record. Lineage: Eukaryota; Viridiplantae; Streptophyta; Magnoliopsida; Brassicales; Brassicaceae.
GCACUCUUGAGCAAUUCAUCUUGUCAAUUUCCUUCACAAAAUUUUCCCGUCAAAUCUCAUGAUCUGUUGAAUUCCCUAAGGAGUUCUACUUGCAGCUAAAGAGAAAGUCACAGAAUAACCGCGGUUCACAUUCAAUACUUUUUCUUCUUCGGAAAGAGUUAGCACUUCCUUCUCCAAUUGGUACAGAUGUAACUCAUGAUCCUGCUAUAUUGGUUUGUUGGACCUACACGAUCACACUUAUCUCAAAUGAUGCGCCAAACCAAGUAUAUAUCAAAGAAGAAACAGCUGGAAUGCAGUAGACAAGUGAGAGCCUCACCUGUCUCAACAAAGGAUCAGGAAGGGCAGACGAAAAGGUCUGAGUUUAUUCAAAGGCCUUGACGGCAGACAUACUCAAUGAGGUGUAACCGAGCAAAAACAAAGAUCGAGGAUGCAGAUGAGCUUAAUGAAUCUUCUGCAACAUCAGACUUAAAGAACCUGAAGAAAACAAAUGCAUAGGAGAAGAUGAAAAAGAACAAGACAUCUGUAACGUGUUGGUGUAUGUUUGAAGUUUCAGACGAAUAGAAAAUGUUGAACAAAUUGUGUAUAAAUGUGGUAUAUCAAGGCAUUAAAGUCAAGAAAGACGGAGGGAAUUAUCUCUCGUUUUGGAGAACA